This 755-nucleotide ribosomal RNA is filed under the name uncultured bacterium. RNAcentral's name for it is "bacterial SSU rRNA". It matches the Rfam family "Bacterial small subunit ribosomal RNA", at positions 28 to 776 of the family's 1533-position model. The record is from RNAcentral.
AUUGAACGCUGGCGGCAGGCUUAACACAUGCAAGUCGAGCGGAAACGAUGAUAGCUUGCUAUCAGGCGUCGAGCGGCGGACGGGUGAGUAAUACUUAGGAAUCUACCUAGUAGUGGGGGAUAGCACGGGGAAACUCGUAUUAAUACCGCAUACGACCUACGGGAGAAAGGGGGCAGUUUACUGCUCUCGCUAUUAGAUGAGCCUAAGUCGGAUUAGCUAGAUGGUGGGGUAAAGGCCUACCAUGGCGACGAUCUGUAGCUGGUCUGAGAGGAUGAUCAGCCACACCGGGACUGAGACACGGCCCGGACUCCUACGGGAGGCAGCAGUGGGGAAUAUUGGACAAUGGGGGAAACCCUGAUCCAGCCAUGCCGCGUGUGUGAAGAAGGCCUUUUGGUUGUAAAGCACUUUAAGCAGUGAAGAAGACUCCAUGGUUAAUACCCAUGGACGAUGACAUUAGCUGCAGAAUAAGCACCGGCUAACUCUGUGCCAGCAGCCGCGGUAAUACAGAGGGUGCAAGCGUUAAUCGGAAUUACUGGGCGUAAAGGGAGCGUAGGUGGCUCUAUAAGUCAGAUGUGAAAUCCCCGGGCUUAACCUGGGAACUGCAUCUGAAACUGUAGAGCUAGAGUAUGUGAGAGGAAGGUAGAAUUCCAGGUGUAGCGGUGAAAUGCGUAGAGAUCUGGAGGAAUACCGAUGGCGAAGGCAGCCUUCUGGCAUAAUACUGACACUGAGGCUCGAAAGCGUGGGUAACAAACAGG